Molecule: long non-coding RNA, 1294 nt
Organism: Xiphias gladius (swordfish)
Lineage: Eukaryota; Metazoa; Chordata; Actinopteri; Istiophoriformes; Xiphiidae
Exons: 4
Source: RefSeq, a predicted model, not a curated record
UGCCUGCCUGCCUGCCUGCCUGCCUGCAUUGUCUAAAACUGUCACCAUUUUCAGCCAAUACCUUCAGCUGAACCGCAGCUUCUCUAUCCGAUCACCACAUCCCAAGAAGCCAUCCGGAAAAGGGUGGAUUUGACAGCUCGCAGAGGGUGGACUGAAGUUAUACAAACAUUCCUUGAAGGCAGAGCUACUUUGGAGGCAGAAAUGAUGUUGCUGCUUGAGUUAAACCUCAAUGGAUGGAAGCAAAGAACUGCAAAGUGUCAAAGGGGGAAAACGCGACUGAAAACUCAACCACUUUCUUCCCUCUAAGAAUCCUAGAUGACCUGAAAGCAAUGACUGGAGCGGACCUGAGUGGGGCUGGCCCGACCACCCAGUCAAGUGGAUGACGCUUCAGGGAACGAGUGAAGCCACGGUGGAAAGCUAGCCUAAGCUCAUUUGCAGCAUGUAAGGCCUACAUCCUUUCUUGAGUGGCAACCAAGGGAUUCAGUGCAUGUAGUGACCUGUUAGUAGCUGGUACAGGUAAUUAAAUCCCCUAGGCCUAAAAAAAUCAUUUUAUCAAUACUACCUGUGCCAGACCAAAUUGUGGGGGUAGCCCUUUGACUAAAAUAUUGAUUAGUGCAGGUGUAAAGGCUACUUUGGCAUGACCGCUAUGCCUCAAAACAAUGUGAGCAUUAUAACUGCCAAUACAUCGCAACAAAUUUAUCGCAAGUUUUAGUUUACUUUCAUAACACUGCACACAUUACUACACCUUAGUUUUAUACUUCAUAUAACACGACUGUACAACUAUAUUUGAGGUGUUUCUAUUAAGGUAGUAUUGACUGCACAUCAUUAUUUUGCCAAAAUUCAGAGUGAACCCAGAUUCUACAGGGCUGAGCUUGCAUUGGCUUCAGAUACGAGUACACCUCUGUCUGCUCAUUUCUGCUGAUGUGUGUAACCAGACUUGUAUGCAGAAAUACCACUUGAAUUCUCUUGUGCACACUAACAAUAAAGUUAUCUCUCUAAAAUCAGUUGCUUUUCAUAGAGUGUGUGUCACUCUAAUUAGAUUUAAACAGCCAGUGUUAUAGCUAUAUUGCAUCAGUGUGAUAACAAUAGUGCCUAAACCAGGAAACAAUGCUGAUUUUCUGUGACCUUGUUAGGUGGGAAAUGCUCCUUAAAUAUCCAGAAGAUUCUAUGAAUAUUCAAAAAUUAAAAAAACAAAACACUGCUAACAUCCACUGGCUUUAGGUUAGUUACUUGUGCAAUGCAUGGAGUUAAACCCUUUCCGAUGUAACAUUGUCCCUAACAUAAUUCUAUUUUU